UCUCCGUAGGUGAACCUGCGGAGGGAUCAUUACAAGUGACCCCGGUCUAACCACCGGGAUGUUCAUAACCCUUUGUUGUCCGACUCUGUUGCCUCCGGGGCGACCCGGCCUUCGGGCGUCGGGGCCCCGGGUGGACCAUUCAAACACUGCAUCUUUGCGUCUGAGUACACGAUUGAAUCAAUCAAAACUUUCAACAACGGAUCUCUUGGUUCUGGCAUCGAGAAGAACGCAGC
This 233-nucleotide unclassified non-coding RNA is filed under the name uncultured fungus. RNAcentral describes it as "sequence contains ITS1, 5.8S rRNA gene". Lineage: Eukaryota; Fungi. The record is from RNAcentral.